GACGAACGCUGGCGGCGUGCUUAACACAUGCAAGUCGAACGGAAAGGCCCUGCUUUUGUGGGGUGCUCGAGUGGCGAACGGGUGAGUAACACGUGAGUAACCUGCCCUUGACUUUGGGAUAACUUCAGGAAACUGGGGCUAAUACCGGAUAGGAGCUCCUGCUGCAUGGUGGGGGUUGGAAAGUUUCGGCGGUUGGGGAUGGACUCGCGGCUUAUCAGCUUGUUGGUGGGGUAGUGGCUUACCAAGGCUUUGACGGGUAGCCGGCCUGAGAGGGUGACCGGCCACAUUGGGACUGUGAUACGGCCCAGACUCCUACGGGAGGCAGCAGUGGGGAAUAUUGCACAAUGGGCGGAAGCCUGAUGCAGCAACGCCGCGUGCGGGAUGACGGCCUUCGGGUUGUAAACCGCUUUCGCCUGUGACGAAGCGUGAGUGACGGUAAUGGGUAAGGAAGCACCGGCUAACUACGUG
Molecule: ribosomal RNA, 468 nt
Filed under: uncultured bacterium
Lineage: Bacteria
Description: partial 16S ribosomal RNA
Rfam family: Bacterial small subunit ribosomal RNA
Source: RNAcentral